This 400-nucleotide unclassified non-coding RNA is filed under the name Hevea brasiliensis (rubber tree). The record is from RNAcentral. Lineage: Eukaryota; Viridiplantae; Streptophyta; Magnoliopsida; Malpighiales; Euphorbiaceae.
CCCCUCCUCAUUCUUCAAAAUUCGUACAAUCUCCUGUAGUUCCCUCUUUAUGUACUCCUGGCCAGCAAAAUCAUCAAAGGUAACACCAGUAGUUUCUUCUGCUGAUAUAAACUUUGCCCGACUCUUGCCUAGUGACCCAAGUGCACGGCGUUUGAGUGGCUGCCUAAUAGUUUGACUAGGCUUUCCCAAAUCACAAGGUAUUAACUUUGCAUAAAUUGGUCUCAUCAUAUUAUCAAUCCAAACAUAUAAUGCAACAGAUAAAGCAAGCCGCAUAGACCAAAUUACUGCAGUUGCAACAGUAGAGUAGACUUCUGCAGGAACUGUAUCCACAUUAAUGACUUCGACAUUCACUAUUUGCUGAUGCAGCUUUUUCCAGACAUCAUUCCAACAAUCAAUUGGC